UAUGACAGCUCGAAUUAAAAAUGUCAGUUUAAAUGUAAAUUUUAUAAAAAAAUGUAUUGUACACUAUUUUAAAUGUCGCCUAAACAAUGGAUCAAAGAAUUUUAUAUUUCCACGCCACUGUUAAGAAUACAACAGACUGAAACAGUCACAGAAAUUUCCGUAUCACGUAACAUAAGCUAGAAGCAGUAAAAAAUUAUUACUUAACCAUACAAAACCAAUGUUAAUGCAAUAGUUCAAAUUCAGUGAGUGGUGUAAAAUCGAGCUAGAAACACUCCAAACCGAUCCAUAAACUAAGGACCCAAUUGAAUAAGUGAAAAAAUAAUGACGGUUGAAGAUGUACAAAUUUUUAUUGGAAACAUCAUUCACUGUAAAAGUCGUUUAAAUCUAGAAGUAAUAAAACCAGGCUUCGUUAUUGUUAUUGGUUCGAAGAUUGCAGCAGUAGGUGAAGAAACUGAAUUGCCCCAUAAACUAACACAACUUCAAUUAAAAUCUUGCGUAGCUACACGAGUCCUCAAAAAAUCUCAAAUUCUUAUUCCUGGUUUAAUUGAUACUCAUUUACAUGCCCCGCAAUAUCCAAAUUGUGGCUUGGGAUAUGAUAAACCUCUUCUGGAAUGGUUAAAUACUUAUAUAUAUGAGUUGGAAAAACAAUACGUAGAUCUGGAUUUUUCUAGGAGAGUAUACAAGGCAGUAGUGCGCAAAACACUUUCUAAUGGUACUACUACAGCAUGCUAUUACGGUUGUUUGUUUAACGAGAGUACCAAUAUUUUAGUAGAUACAGUAGUGGAAUAUGGUCAACGAGCAUUAAUAGGCAAAAUUAAUAUGACUCGUUUAGCACCAGAAGAAUACUUAGAAACACCUGAAGAUUCAAUAGCUAAUACUAAAAAGUUUGUUAAAUACGUUUUCGAAAAAGAGUCUGACCUAGUUCUACCAAUUAUCACUCCAAGGUUUGCUUUAAGCGUUACUAUGGAAUUAAUGAAGGAACUUGGACAAAUAGCCAAACUGGGAGAUUUACACAUUCAAACGCAUAUUUCCGAAAAUGCUGAAGAAGUUAAAUUAGUAGAAUCCACUUAUGGGAUGCCGUAUGCUCAAGUUUAUGAUAAAGCAAAUUUAUUAACGAGAAAAACCAUUCUUGGCCAUGGAAUUUAUUUAUCCGACGAAGAAAUUAAGUUACUAGUAGAAAGAGGCACUGCUGUUUCUCACUGUCCAGAUUCUAACCUCUGCUUGAAAUCCGGCUUGUGUAACGUGAGGAAAUUAUUAGAGAAUGGAGUCAAAGUUGGAUUAGGAACAGAUAUCUCAGGUGGAGCUUCGCCUUCGAUAAUUAAAGCAAUGAAAACAUGUUUGGAUGUCUCAAUAGCGAAAUCAUUCCACGUUACUGAAGUGAAACCAUUAAAUUAUGAAGAGGUUUUCUACUUAGCAACACUAGGAGGAAGUGAAGUUUGCCAGUUGCCGUUUUAAUUGCGUUUUGGACUUUCCACUCACUCACUUUCCCAUAAAAUUGAACUUCUGCUACAUGCAACAUUUUUCCUGCCAGCAUUAGCUAUGGAAAAUAAAAUUGGCAACUUUGAUGUACACAAAGAAUUUGAUGCUUUGAUAAUUGAUAUGGGAAUCAAUAUUGAAGAUUAUUUCAUAGGAUGUGAUCCCAGAGAAAUUUUGCAAAAAUUCAUUUAUACUGGAGAUGACAGAAACGUCGCAAGUGUAUACGUCGCAGGUGUGGAGGUGAAAUAAUAGAAAUAAAUAAUACCAGACAGCUUUCGAAGUUUCAAUAAUUCCUAAUCAAAAUAAACUAGCAACUUGCGGUUCACAGGAGGUGUGAUUGUUGACCUAUUAGAGUGAAUUAAUAAUUACAUUUAGCUUUGGCUUUUACCAGUGAAAAAGUACAGUUCCAGUAUGGAUUAUGAAGCACAAUUCGAUCAUAUUCCAUAAUAAAUUAUUCUUUCAAUAUGUAAUAUAAAAAUGUUACAAUUUCUUCGAA
Molecule: RNA transcript, 1972 nt
Organism: Diorhabda carinulata
Lineage: Eukaryota; Metazoa; Arthropoda; Insecta; Coleoptera; Chrysomelidae
Gene name: guanine deaminase
Exons: 9
Source: RefSeq, a predicted model, not a curated record